CCUACGGGUGGCAGCAGUGGGGAAUAUUGCGCAAUGGGCGAAAGCCUGACGCAGCGACGCCGCGUGAGGGAUGAAGGUCUUCGGAUCGUAAACCUCUGUCAGCAGGGAAGAACGGUCACUGUGCUAAUCAGCAGUGAAUUGACGGUACCUGCAAAGGAAGCACCGGCUAACUCCGUGCCAGCAGCCGCGGUAAUACGGAGGGUGCGUGCGUUAAUCGGAAUUACUGGGCGUAAAGCGCUCGUAGGCGGUAUGUCAAGUCAAGGGUGAAAUCCCCGCGCUCAACGUGGGAACUGCCUUUGAAACUGGCAAACUGGAGUGUGUGAGAGGAUAGUGGAAUUCCAGGUGUAGGAGUGAAAUGCGUAGAUAUCUGGAAGAACAUCAGUGGCGAAGGCGACUAUCUGGCACAUAACUGACGCUGAGGAGCGAAAGCGUGGGUAGCAAACAGGAUUAGAUACCCUGGUAGUC
Molecule: ribosomal RNA, 465 nt
Filed under: uncultured bacterium
Lineage: Bacteria
Description: partial 16S ribosomal RNA
Rfam family: Bacterial small subunit ribosomal RNA
Source: RNAcentral